RNAcentral lists this ribosomal RNA (510 nucleotides) under uncultured bacterium. Its description in RNAcentral is "partial 16S ribosomal RNA". It matches the Rfam family "Bacterial small subunit ribosomal RNA", at positions 28 to 507 of the family's 1533-position model. The record is from RNAcentral.
GACGAACGCUGGCGGCGUGCUUAACACAUGCAAGUCGAACGAAGAGCGAUGGAAGCUUGCUUCUAUCAAUCUUAGUGGCGAACGGGUGAGUAACGCGUAAUCAACCUGCCCUUCAGAGGGGGACAACAGUUGGAAACGACUGCUAAUACCGCAUACGAUCCGACCUCGGCAUCGAGGAUGGAUGAAAGGUGGCCUCUAUUUAUAAGCUAUCACUGAAGGAGGGGAUUGCGUCUGAUUAGCUAGUUGGAGGGGUAACGGCCCACCAAGGCAAUGAUCAGUAGCCGGGCUGAGAGGAUGAACGGCCACAUUGGGACUGAGACACGGCCCAGACUCCUACGGGAGGCAGCAGUGGGGAAUCUUCCGCAAUGGACGAAAGUCUGACGGAGCAACGCCGCGUGAGUGAUGACGGCCUUCGGGCUGUAAAGCUCUGUUAAUCGGGACGAAAGGUCUUCUUGCGAAUAGUUAGAAGAAUUGACGGUACCGGAAUAGAAAGCCACGGCUAACUACGUG